RNAcentral lists this ribosomal RNA (253 nucleotides) under uncultured bacterium. RNAcentral's name for it is "partial 16S ribosomal RNA". It matches the Rfam family "Bacterial small subunit ribosomal RNA", at positions 524 to 776 of the family's 1533-position model. The record is from RNAcentral.
GACAUAGGUGGCGAACGUUAUCCGGAAUUACCGGGCGUAAAGCGUGCGCAGGCGGUUCGUUAAGUUCGUUGUGAAAGCCCCGGGCUCAACCUGGGAACUGCAAUGGAAACUGGCGGGCUUGAAUGCGGCAGAGGGGGGUGGAAUUCCACGUGUAGCAGUGAAAUGCGUAGAUAUGUGGAGGAACACCGAUGGCGAAGGCAGCCCCCUGGGCUAACACUGACGCUCAUGCACGAAAGCGUGGGGAGCAAACAGG